This 107-nucleotide small nucleolar RNA is filed under the name Gossypium raimondii (Peruvian cotton). RNAcentral's name for it is "snoRNA LOC128036329". It matches the Rfam family "Plant small nucleolar RNA R71". Rfam says of the family: R71 is a member of the C/D box family of snoRNAs containing the C (UGAUGA) and D (CUGA) box motifs. Multiple nearly identical copies of this snoRNA have been identified in Arabidopsis, and it is thought to function as a 2'-O-ribose methylation guide for 18S ribosomal RNA. Lineage: Eukaryota; Viridiplantae; Streptophyta; Magnoliopsida; Malvales; Malvaceae. The record is from Rfam by way of RNAcentral.
AAUCCAUGGUGUGGGCAUUUUUGAAUCAACAUCUUGAAACAUUCCCACGCCUCAUAAAAACUUUCUCCUUCCAUCUGUCUGAAGUUAGUGAUCUCUCUUCUUAGUUG